GACGAACGCUGGCGGCGCGCUUAACACAUGCAAGUCGAGCGAGAACCAGGGCUUCGGCCCUGGGGACAGCGGCGAACGGGUGAGUAACACGUGGGUAAUCUGCCCUCGGCACCGGAAUAGCCCGGGGAAACCCGGAUUAAUGCCGGAUGGCCCCUUCACCUCGCGAGGUGUCGGGAAAAGGUAGCUUCGGCCUCUGGCCGAGGAUGAGCCCGCGGCGGAUUGGCUUGUUGGCGGGGUAACGGCCCACCAAGGCGACGAUCCGUAGCUGGUCUGAGAGGACGAUCAGCCACACUGGGACUGAGACACGGCCCAGACUCCUACGGGAGGCAGCAGUGGGGAAUCUUGCGCAAUGGGCGAAAGCCUGACGCAGCGACACCGCGUGAGGGAAGAAGGCCUUCGGGUUGUAAACCUCUUUCAGGAGGGACGAAGCUACUCGGGUGAAUAGCCCAGAGGGUGACGGUACCUCCAGAAGAAGCCCCGGCUAACUACGUGCCAGCAGCCGCAGUAA
This 508-nucleotide ribosomal RNA is filed under the name uncultured bacterium. RNAcentral describes it as "partial 16S ribosomal RNA". It matches the Rfam family "Bacterial small subunit ribosomal RNA", at positions 28 to 523 of the family's 1533-position model. The record is from RNAcentral.